AAAUUUCCAUUUUUUCAUGAAUUAUUUUAGUUUACACAUGGGUAUGGUGUCCCUCCUCUAUCACUCACUCCUCCCUGCCUGUUAAAGAAUCUCUCUGUAGCUAUAUAUACAUGGAGUUGCUAGAUAGCUAAAAUGCAUCACAUCCUGAAAUUUCUUACUCAACGCCUAGUUCUGUUCUUAUUCUUGCUUGCAACUUCCCGGUGCCUUAUUGUUUGCCGAUCUAGACUUGCAUCCCACACUCAACCAAGGAAUUCGAACUAAACUGAAUCAACUUUCUCCAAACCCAAUAUAACAAUUCUGUUCCAUCUUCAUAUGGAUAAUGACCAAAAAGAAAAGGAAGAAAUUAACAAAAUGGUGGCUUAUGUUGAUAGUUGGUAUAGGCGAACUCGGACACAAGAAACAGAUAUAUAUCUGCAAGUGUUGAUAACCAUGGGAGAAGACAAGACCAGAAGCUUAUUUCCCAUUCGGGAUGGACUUAACAGAUGAGGUACUUAGCACCGUAAAAUCCUUUACAACGGCAUGGCUGCAGAGUAAUAUUGGAUUUGAAAUCUUUAACAUUGUUGAACCUAAAAGGUAACAGUAUUCAAUAGCCGAUUCCGAAAUUCAACAGUGGUGUUAGGAUUAUAUUUAUACCGAUGUCAAGAGUCCUCCAAUUCCAAAGCUGGUUCAAACACUGGAAGGGGAUUUAUUCUAGUUAUUAUUCAUAGCGGUUUUUACCUGUUGAGAACCCUGCUGGUUGGUGACCAUACCCCAAUUCAUCAAUCACCGUUUAGUUUGAUGGGAAACAACUUCCGGCAUCGCUACGGCAGAGUAACCGUUAAUGAUCAAAUGGUUUUGUUUGAUUUAAUUUUAUUUUCACUAGCUUUUGGUUUUUCAUGUGUUGAUUGAUAUAACCAUGGGAGAAGACAAGAGUAGCACCUAUUUAGCUCUCUGCAUGUGCCCGAGCUUUUUCAUUUCAUUUCAUUCGCAUUAUUUUAUUUUGGUGCAUGGUUUGCUACACUGGCCAAGAGAGUACUUCCGCAAGUAGAGUGGCAAACCGGCAAUAGGAUAGUUACCAGCGGUACUGUCAGUUUGGUUGUCAGAUUGUCAACACAGUUAAAAACAAUUCUUGUAAGAAUUAAGGAAAGGAUAUAUUAUGGUGAAUGAUAGUGAAUUAGACCUUUGGUGUUUGACAUAAA
Molecule: long non-coding RNA, 1178 nt
Organism: Papaver somniferum (opium poppy)
Lineage: Eukaryota; Viridiplantae; Streptophyta; Magnoliopsida; Ranunculales; Papaveraceae
Exons: 2
Source: RefSeq, a predicted model, not a curated record